This 465-nucleotide ribosomal RNA is filed under the name uncultured bacterium. RNAcentral's name for it is "partial 16S ribosomal RNA". It matches the Rfam family "Bacterial small subunit ribosomal RNA", at positions 339 to 795 of the family's 1533-position model. The record is from RNAcentral.
CUACGGGUGGCUCCAGUGAGGAAUUUUGCGCAAUGGGGGAAACCCUGACGCAGCAACGCCGCGUGAGUGAUGAAGGCCUUCGGGUCGUAAAACUCUGUCAAGUGGGAAGAACCUAUGUAAGGUUAAUACCCUUAUGUACUGACGGUACCACUGAAGGAAGCACCGGCUAACUCCGUGCCAGCAGCCGCGGUAAUACGGAGGGUGCAAGCGUUAUUCGGAAUUAUUGGGCGUAAAGGGCGCGCAGGCGGUUUUGUAAGUCAGAUGUGAAAGCCCGGGGCUUAACCUCGGAAGUGCAUUUGAUACUGCAAGACUUGAGUAUGGGAGGGGGAAGUGGAAUUCCUGGUGUAGAGGUGAAAUGCGUAGAUAUCAGGAGGAACACCAGUGGCGAAGGCGACUUCCUGGACCAAUACUGACGCUGAGGCGCGAAGGCGUGGGGAGCAAACAGGAUUAGAUACCCGCGUAGUC